GGUGGGGAAGGGAAAAAGCACCUCGUGAUAAGCAAAGACCUUAGCGCUAAAGGAGCGGCCGAUGUCUGAUUAGUUAGUUGGUGGGGUAAAGGCCUACCAAGGCAACGAUCAGUAGCUGGUCUGAGAGGACGAUCAGCCACACUGGGACUGAGACACGGCCCAGACUCCUACGGGAGGCAGCAGUGGGGAAUUUUGGACAAUGGGCGAAAGCCUGAUCCAGCCAUGCCGCGUGAAUGUAGAAGGCCUUCGGGUUGUAAAGUUCUUUUAGUUGGAAAGAAAAAAUUAUGAUGAAUAAUCAUAAUUCAUGACGGUACUGACAGAAAAAGCACCGGCUAACUACGUGCCAGCAGCCGCGGUAAUACGUAGGGUGCAAGCGUUAAUCGGAAUUACUGGGCGUAAAGGGUGUGCAGGCGGCCUUGUAAGUCAGAUGUGAAAGCCCCGGGCUUAACCUGGGAAUUGCGUUUGAAACUACAAAGCUAGAAG
RNAcentral lists this ribosomal RNA (483 nucleotides) under uncultured Nitrosomonas sp. RNAcentral's name for it is "bacterial SSU rRNA". It matches the Rfam family "Bacterial small subunit ribosomal RNA", at positions 189 to 647 of the family's 1533-position model. The record is from RNAcentral. Lineage: Bacteria; Pseudomonadati; Pseudomonadota; Betaproteobacteria; Nitrosomonadales; Nitrosomonadaceae.